RNAcentral lists this transfer RNA (59 nucleotides) under Strongyloides venezuelensis. It matches the Rfam family "tRNA", at positions 8 to 63 of the family's 71-position model. Rfam says of the family: Transfer RNA (tRNA) molecules are approximately 80 nucleotides in length. Their secondary structure includes four short double-helical elements and three loops (D, anti-codon, and T loops). Further hydrogen bonds mediate the characteristic L-shaped molecular structure. tRNAs have two regions of fundamental functional importance: the anti-codon, which is responsible for specific mRNA codon recognition, and the 3' end, to which the tRNAs corresponding amino acid is attached (by aminoacyl-tRNA synthetases). tRNAs cope with the degeneracy of the genetic code in two manners: having more than one tRNA (with a specific anti-codon) for a particular amino acid; and 'wobble' base-pairing, i.e. permitting non-standard base-pairing at the 3rd anti-codon position. Lineage: Eukaryota; Metazoa; Nematoda; Chromadorea; Rhabditida; Strongyloididae. The record is from Rfam by way of RNAcentral.
UAGCUCAGUCGGUUAGAGCGUGGGUCUAAUAAGCCCAAGGUCGCAGAUUCGACCCCUGC